This 255-nucleotide ribosomal RNA is filed under the name uncultured bacterium. RNAcentral's name for it is "partial 16S ribosomal RNA". It matches the Rfam family "Bacterial small subunit ribosomal RNA", at positions 524 to 777 of the family's 1533-position model. The record is from RNAcentral.
UACGUAGGGUGCAAGCGUUAAUCGGAAUUACUGGGCGUAAAGCGUGCGCAGGCGGUUAUGUAAGACAGAUGUGAAAUGCCCGGGCUCAACCUGGGAACUGCAUUUGUGACUGCAUGGCUAGAGUUUGGCAGAGGGGGGUAGAAUUCCACGUGUAGCAGUGAAAUGCGUAGAUAUGUGGAGGAAUACCGAUGGCGAAGGCAGCCCCCUGGGUCAAGACUGACGCUCCAUGCACGAAAGCGUGGGGAGCAAACGAGG